UUUGAUCCUGGCUCAGGAUGAACGCUAGCUACAGGCUUAACACAUGCAAGUCGAGGGGCAGCAUGGUCUUAGCUUGCUAAGACUGAUGGCGACCGGCGCACGGGUGAGUAACACGUAUCCAACCUGCCGUCUACUCUUGGACAGCCUUCUGAAAGGAAGAUUAAUACAAGAUGGCAUCAUGAGUCCGCAUGUUCACAUGAUUAAAGGUAUUCCGGUAGACGAUGGGGAUGCGUUCCAUUAGAUAGUAGGCGGGGUAACGGCCCACCUAGUCUUCGAUGGAUAGGGGUUCUGAGAGGAAGGUCCCCCACAUUGGAACUGAGACACGGUCCAAACUCCUACGGGAGGCAGCAGUGAGGAAUAUUGGUCAAUGGGCGAGAGCCUGAACCAGCCAAGUAGCGUGAAGGAUGACUGCCCUAUGGGUUGUAAACUUCUUUUAUAAAGGAAUAAAGUCGGGUAUGCAUACCCGUUUGCAUGUACUUUAUGAAUAAGGAUCGGCUAACUCCGUGCCAGCAGCCGCGGUAAUACGGAGGAUCCGAGCGUUAUCCGGAUUUAUUGGGUUUAAAGGGAGCGUAGAUGGAUGUUUAAGUCAGUUGUGAAAGUUUGCGGCUCAACCGUAAAAUUGCAGUUGAUACUGGAUAUCUUGAGUGCAGUUGAGGCAGGCGGAAUUCGUGGUGUAGCGGUGAAAUGCUUAGAUAUCACGAAGAACUCCGAUUGCGAAGGCAGCCUGCUAAGCUGCAACUGACAUUGAGGCUCGAAAGUGUGGGUAUCAAACAGGAUUAGAUACCCUGGUAGUCCACACGGUAAACGAUGAAUACUCGCUGUUUGCGAUAUACUGCAAGCGGCCAAGCGAAAGCGUUAAGUAUUCCACCUGGGGAGUACGCCGGCAACGGUGAAACUCAAAGGAAUUGACGGGGGCCCGCACAAGCGGAGGAACAUGUGGUUUAAUUCGAUGAUACGCGAGGAACCUUACCCGGGCUUAAAUUGCAGAUGAAUUACGGUGAAAGCCGUAAGCCGCAAGGCAUCUGUGAAGGUGCUGCGUGGUUGUCGUCAGCUCGUGCCGUGAGGUGUCGGCUUAAGUGCCAUAACGAGCGCAACCCUUGUUGUCAGUUACUAACAGGUUCCGCUGAGGACUCUGACAAGACUGCCAUCGUAAGAUGUGAGGAAGGUGGGGAUGACGUCAAAUCAGCACGGCCCUUACGUCCGGGGCUACACACGUGUUACAAUGGGGGGUACAGAGGGCCGCUACCACGCGAGUGGAUGCCAAUCCCCAAAACCUCUCUCAGUUCGGACUGGAGUCUGCAACCCGACUCCACGAAGCUGGAUUCGCUAGUAAUCGCGCAUCAGCCACGGCGCGGUGAAUACGUUCCCGGGCCUUGUACACACCGCCCGUCAAGCCAUGGGAGCCGGGGGUACCUGAAGUGCGUAACCGCGAGGAGUGCCCUAGGGUAAAACUGGUGACUGGGGCUAAGUCGUAACAAGGUAACCA
This 1486-nucleotide ribosomal RNA is filed under the name uncultured Bacteroides sp. RNAcentral's name for it is "bacterial SSU rRNA". It matches the Rfam family "Bacterial small subunit ribosomal RNA". The record is from RNAcentral. Lineage: Bacteria; Pseudomonadati; Bacteroidota; Bacteroidia; Bacteroidales; Bacteroidaceae.